Molecule: ribosomal RNA, 369 nt
Filed under: uncultured organism
Description: bacterial SSU rRNA
Rfam family: Bacterial small subunit ribosomal RNA
Source: RNAcentral
CGUAGGUGGCAAGCGUUGUCCGGAUUUAUUGGGUUUAAAGGGUGUGUAGGCGGUCUUUUUAAGUCAGUGCUGAAAUACUCCAGCUUAACUGGAGGGGUGGCAUUGAUACUGGGAGACUUGAGUGUAGUCGAGGUAGGCGGAAUUGACGGUGUAGCGGUGAAAUGCUUAGAUAUCGUCAAGAACACCGAUAGUGAAGACAGCUUACUAGGCUACAACUGACGCUGAGGCACGAAAGUGUGGGGAUCAAACAGGAUUAGAUACCCUGGUAGUCCACACUGUAAACGUUGAUGACUCGCUGUGUGCGAUAUACAGUACGCGGCUAAGCGAAAGCGAUAAGUCAUCCACCUGGGGAGUACGCCGGCAACGGUG